Molecule: ribosomal RNA, 464 nt
Filed under: uncultured bacterium
Lineage: Bacteria
Description: bacterial SSU rRNA
Rfam family: Bacterial small subunit ribosomal RNA
Source: RNAcentral
CAAGUCGGACGGGAUUGGGACUUCGGUUCCAUGAGAGUGGCGCACGGGUGCGUAACACGUAUGUAACCUACCUUAGUCAGGGGGAUAGCCUCUCGAAAGAGAGAUUAAGACCGCAUAACAUCAGUUUACAGCAUUGUAUACUGAUCAAAUAUUUAUAGGAUUAAGAUGGGCAUGCGGAACAUUAGCUAGUUGGUAAGGUAAUGGCUUACCAAGGCUACGAUGUUUAGGGGAUCUGAGAGGAUGACCCCCCACACUGGUACUGAGACACGGACCAGACUCCUACGGGAGGCAGCAGUAAGGAAUAUUGGUCAAUGGGCGAAAGCCUGAACCAGCCAUGCCGCGUGCAGGAAGACUGCCUUACGGGUUGUAAACUGCUUUUGUACCAGAAUAAACCUUUCUUCGUGAAGAAAGCUGAAUGUAUGGUAAGAAUAAGGAUCGGCUAACUCCGUGCCAGCAGCCGCGGU